GUCUAGGGCCAUACCACCCUGGACACACCCCAUCUCAUUGGAUCUGGGAAGCUAAGGAAGGCCAGGCCUGGUUAGUAUUUGGAUGGGAGAAAGUCAAACAACCAGAACAGAUA
Vulpes vulpes (red fox) is the source of this 113-nucleotide ribosomal RNA. Lineage: Eukaryota; Metazoa; Chordata; Mammalia; Carnivora; Canidae. The record is from Ensembl.